This 469-nucleotide ribosomal RNA is filed under the name uncultured bacterium. RNAcentral describes it as "bacterial SSU rRNA". It matches the Rfam family "Bacterial small subunit ribosomal RNA", at positions 334 to 793 of the family's 1533-position model. The record is from RNAcentral.
GACUCCUACGUGAGGCAGCAGUGGGGAAUAUUGCACAAUGGGGGAAACCCUGAUGCAGCCAUGCCGCGUGUGUGAAGAAGGCCUUCGGGGUUGUAAAGCACUUUCAGUAGGGAGGAAGGUAGUGUAGUUAACACCUGCAUUAUUUGACGUUACCUACAGAAGAAGCACCGGCUAACUCCGUGCCAGCAGCCGCGGUAAUACGGAGGGUGCGAGCGUUAAUCGGAAUUACUGGGCGUAAAGCGCAUGCAGGCGGCCUGUUAAGUCAGAUGUGAAAGCCCGGGGCUUAACCUCGGAAUUGCAUUUGAAACUGGCAGGCUAGAGUCUUGUAGAGGGGGGUAGGAAUUUCAGGUGUAGCGGUGAAAUGCGUAGAGAUCUGAAGGAAUACCAGUGGCGAAGGCGGCCCCCUGGACAAAGACUGACGCUCAGAUGCGAAAGCGUGGGGAGCAAACAGGAUUAGACACCCUGGUAG